Molecule: long non-coding RNA, 3244 nt
Organism: Thunnus maccoyii (southern bluefin tuna)
Lineage: Eukaryota; Metazoa; Chordata; Actinopteri; Scombriformes; Scombridae
Exons: 4
Source: RefSeq, a predicted model, not a curated record
UCAAUCUAUCUCUCAGGUUGAACAAAGCGGAGGAAAAUCUUUGUACACUGAUGAUGGAGCUCUGUGGAUAAGGACCACAGUGUAUCUUAUGUGUGUAUUUAAUAAGAAAAUGCAAGCUGCAAUAGUUGAAGUGGAAAAAUGGACAAGUAAAUGGGGAUUCAAACUAUCUGUAGCAAAAAGCAAAAGUAAUUUGUUUCUCAAGACGGCAUCAAAUUGCACCCGUCUCCUUAAAAUUCUAUGAACAACCUCUUGAGCAAGUAAAAGAUUAGAUUACUAUUAGAUUUCUUGGGGUUUGGUUUGCCAAAAAGCUUGCAUGGAAUGUUUAUUUAGAUGAAGUUAAGAUCAAAUAUAAAAAGGUCAUCAAUAUACUUCACUGUUUAUCAGGGCAGGAGUGAGGAGCAAGUAGGAUCUCUACAAAAUAUAUAUACUAGGGCACUCAUGAGAUCUAUGCUUGACUAUGGGUGUGUAGCUUACUUAGCAGCAGCAGAAUCAAACCUCAAGAAGUUAGAUGUAUUACAAACUCAAGCCUCUGAGAAUCUGUAGUGGAUAAUUCAAAACAACUCUAGUAUCAGCGAUGCAGGUGGAAAUGGGAGAAAUGCCUUUAAGGGUCAGAAGAGUGAAGUUAAUGUUGACAUACUGGGUUUAUCUCCAGGGGCAAAGUGAUACACAUCCUGUCUAGAGUGUUUUAACAGACUGCUGUUAACAUAGUGAGACGAAUUUCAUAAGUUUGGGGUGGAUUGGUGAUGUAAAGGCAGAAAACUUACUCCUCUUGCCCAGUAUAGACCUCAACAUACGGCAGGAAUUGAAGGACAAGUCAGAGCGACUUCCAGUAUCGCUCAUAGUCCAGAACUAUUUUGAUCAGCAUUUUUCAGACUCAGUGUUUAUAUUCACAGACGGCUCCAAAGAUCCUGAUACAGGGUGUGCAGGUGCAGCAGUAUAUAUCCCAGUGAGUGAGUCAUAUUAUGAAAAGGGUAUCAGACCAUUUGUCAGUAUAUACCACAGAGCUAUUGGCAAUAUUAUUGGCCCUGCAGUGGAUAGAGAAGAAGGAGAUAAAUAACACCGUUAUUGUAUCUGACAGCUUUUCAGCACUAACCGGCAUAAGAUCUGGCAGAUUGUCAUGUAGAACAGAUAUUAUAAUUUAAAUAUUCCUUAUACCCCUUAUUUCCAUCCUGUAUAUUAUAUCUACACACUUCCUUUGGUUUCCUGCUCAUGUCGGUGUGGAGGGAAAUGAGCUCGUCUGAAAAUAGAACACACAGGUCUCAAUCAUACAUUAUAUAAAAUAGGGAAGCACCCAAAUGGAAAAUGAACACACUGUAGCCAACCAGAAACAGUCAAACAUGUACUACUUCAUUGUAGAAAAUCACCUUCAGGCACUAAGGAAGGCAAAACAUCAUGACUUUUCAUUGUCAGGCCUGUUGGGGGAAACAGAAGGCAAGAUAUAUUGUGACGUUAUUCAAUUUUUAAAAGAAACUGAUUAACCAAAAAAAAAAAAUACAUUUUUUGAUUUCCUCCAUAAUCUCUUGUUCCACACUCCAGUCCAGUUAAUGCGCCUCUAAGUUGGUAAACACUAAAGAAGAAGAAGAAUCUAGCUUCCACAGGGUUUCAACGGUCAAACUACUGUCUAGCUCAUGUCAAACCAAACAACUGUAAACAACUGAUUUAUAAAACCCAAAGUCUGUCUGUCAUCAGUCUGUCAGUUUGUCAUAAUGCCAGGGGGCGUCUACAAAAAAGACGUGUUCCUUUUGUCGGGGCAUUUUAUUUUGUGUGCAGAAGAUCUAUUCACAUUGUAAAAAGGAGCAGGCUCUGGAGCAGCGCCUUAAGAGGAAGCUUCAAAAGUCUGAUGAGAAGCAAGAGGAAUGGGUGAAUCACAGCAUUGCAUCCAUCAGGGAUGAAGCCAUGGUCAUGCUUGAGAAAAUCCAUGUCAUUGGCUAAAAGCCAGUGCUGCUUCUUGGCAAGGAGACCAGAAACGAAAAAACCAAAUGUGAAAUAUUAACCCCUUGCUGCACACUUACCGCCUACGCCUAGGACCACCUUCAGAAGAUUGGCUCAUUUUAUGAGUACCUUUGCGAAGGUGAGACGCAUGCACUGUAUUUUUAAAGUCACAGUUCACAACUAGUGUUGGGUACGCAAAAGAUUUGAUCAGUUUCUAAAUCUUAAAGGGAUGGUUCACCCGAAGACUUAAAUUCAGUCAUCAACUCUUCACGUCCUUGUAGGGCUGCCCUCAACUGGAGAACAAACACAGAAGAUUUUACAAAUGUGAUACAACCGUCCAUACCUGCGGGCUAUCCCACCACCAGUACUAUUCUUUCACUAUUGCUACAGUUAAAACGUCCCAGAAUCUGUACUUAUUAAUUUGGUUAAACUUUGUUAAUGUUUUUUUGUUUGUUUGUUUUUUAUUGUUUUUGUUUUGUUACAACUGGUUACAAUCAUUCUCAGUACUUUGUUCACUUUUUCAAAAUGGUGGUGUUCCUUGAAAUGAAUGAUGAAAAAUUAAACACUUAUACUUAUAAAAGACAUGUUUGGUAAUGAUAUGUGCUUGACACAUGUUAAAAGGUUUAAGUUUACUGGAAGGACUCAACAAGUACCAGUAAAAGAAGAAAAUUCCCCUCUGUUUUCAGUGGCGAGUGGACCCAUACCCAGCAGCCAAAGGAUUCUUUCUAAAUUAAUGCACAGAAAUAAAAUGUCAUAAUUGAGGUCAUAUCUCAUCUUUUGCUAGUCGAGAUAAGGUGAAAACGUCCAAUUAGGUUGAUACAUGGAGUUUAACCUCAAGUAGGCCUUGUCACAAUCCCAGCGUAGCCCUUGUGUCCUCUUUUUCCCUCUGCCUCCCGGUCUGUCUCUGUGUGUGUUCAGGCGUGUCUGUUCUCUGUCUCUCUCUCCCUCCACACCUGCUACUCAUUCCAGACCUGCACAGCUGCCAUGCAUCCAGUCAUCACUACCUGCUACAAAUACCCUGCUCAGUCUGCCAGUCCCCGCCAGAUCAUUCCUAGUCUCGGCUUGUGCUGUUGGCAUAUUUUCUAGCCAUGUUUUCCUAGCUUGCUUUGAUGCCUGACCUGCCGGUAGCUCUGUGUCUCCAUGUGCAUAGUUUGUCUGUUCUGCUUGCCUGUUCGCGCCCCCCCCCCCCCGUCCUGGAUCCCUCAGCUCUGUACACCUGUCAGCCCUCAGCUCAAACCUCCAGCCAGCUGAUCCUUGGGUUCAUCUGUUCAGCCCCACGUACCAGGCCUAAAUAAAAAUGUACUUAAUCCAA